This is a long non-coding RNA of Bos taurus (domestic cattle), 1732 nucleotides long. Lineage: Eukaryota; Metazoa; Chordata; Mammalia; Artiodactyla; Bovidae. The record is from Ensembl.
CAUGGACUGUAUACCCUACCAGAUGUCUCUCCGUGGAAUUUUCCAGGCAAGAAUGCUGGAGAAGCCACAGGCUGCUGCUGACCAGACUUGGCACGAGACCUUGAGGCUGCUGCUUUUCCCCCUACAUCAUAACCGAUUUCAAAUGGUGCUAGACAAAAACAGACUCUGAACACCAGGAGAAAUCGGUCAGCCUGUGUAAGAGAUGGGUCCGGUGGUGCUCAGUGGGGUCCACACCUUGAUGGUACAGGUGGCAAGUCUGAUUUCACCUACUCAGCAACUGCAGCUGAAUGUUCCACGGCGCGUAGGAGCAGGUGGACAGUGCUGGUGUGAUGAGAGAGUCCUUCCGGUCCACGGCCCUCCCACUGCCGACUGCGAUCACGUACCCAACCCAGUGCUGCCCAGUCACACACUGAAAGGCCCCACCAACAGGUUCCUGCUGGUGGCUGCUGCUACCUGUCCAUAGGAAGACCAUCACAAACCCUGGCUCUGCUCAAGCCUCUGAGUUUCUACUGAACACAGCCCCAUCCCUGCACUGUCCCCCUUUCCCAACCCAACAUGUUCAAGAAUAUACUUUUCUUCUCAAAUUCUUCUUUUCUUGAACCAGCUCAGUUGGCAGGAGAGGGGAGCUAGUCCCAGGGCAGCAGCUCCUCUGAAGGUGGCCUUUGGCUGUGCUGCAAUUCUUACUCCUAAAACACUGAUUUCAAAUGGUGCUAGAUACAAAGAUGGAAAAAUCUAAGCCACCAUGUGAAACCAGCUUCCAGAAGAAGAGGAUCUCACUGAAGAAAGGAGGGAGAUGCGAUCAGAAGACCCAGCCUUUGCCUGAGCAAAAAGAUGUCUUACUGCAGUUAUACUUGCCACGGGACAUAAGGGUCCCUUCAAAAGGCACAGAGAAGAGUUACAAAGUGAUGCUCAAAGAACAUGAAAGUCAAAGCUGGAAACAAGCACCCUUUCUGCCUGGGAGGCGCUGACGACUACACACAGGUGGGUUUCACCUGGACCAGGGCGACUCGCCCACAGACCCUGGUGAGGAAGACCACGGGCUCGCCCUUCCCCAUCACAGAUGAGCGGUCAGGACGUUCAAGUAUGACCCCGUAAGCCACCAAUCUUAUUCUCUACUGGGUCCUAAAAUUGUAUUAAGUAGACAACUCUCUAAUACAAGAAUGGACUUUUGUGUUCAAAUUCAGCUUGAAAAUAAGAUGUGCGCACAGGGUUCAAAUCAGACUUCCAUCUCCUAUGGGUGAAGCUAAGAAAGUAUGUCUGUAUUUCCUGAUACCAUAACCGAGAGAAAGAAGAGACAAAAUCUUUACCUCUCAGGUUCCCUACCAACUCUUCAAGACUCCAGAUAAAAACGUUGUUUUUUCUGCCUCCUGGAAAUAACGUGACGUGCUGCUCUAGGGAAGAGAAGGAAAUAAAAUGCGAACACCGAGCUGUGCUCUUCAAUUCUCACCACGAACCAGAGAUUAUUCCUGUUUUUGCAGAAGAAACUGAUCCUCAGUGUGGUUUAGAAACCUGUCCACAGUCACAUGACUGGUGAGCCGGGUCCAAGCUGGGUCUGACCCCAGCGUCUGCGCUCCUGCCCCUCUGCCCACCGCGCCUGCUUUGUGGUUUGCGACUGUCUCCCUCUGCCCUUGCCCCUGAUUAUGAGCAAGACUGAGGGCAGGUGGGAAUCCUAGGCAGUGCUUCUGCAUAGAUGGCGGGGUGUUGCUGACUGUCCAGCGUGUUAAACUUGGGU